UUUUAAGAGGUAAGAAAUUUUAUUUAUUUAUUGGGAAAAAACCUAAUAAAAUAAAAUAAAAUAAGAUUUUUGAGGGUUGAGGGUUGAGAGAGAAUCCAUGACCUAUAAAAAGCCUUGUUCCCCCACUCCAAACGAUUUAGGUUAUAAUAUUCAGAGAAAGCGAAAACAAAUAAAACAAAAAGACGAGAAAACCAGUUGUAAUUUCUAAAACAAGAGAUUCAAAUGCGGAAUCGCUGAAGGAGAAGAAACAGAAGGUUCGAGACAUCAUCCAUGGCAGACAGGCAGAGCAAGGAGAACACAAGCAAAAGGAAGAACGGGGAGAACCAAUCUUUGCUUCUGGGGCGGUACGAGAUCGGGAAGCUUCUGGGGCAUGGGACAUUCGCCAAGGUCUACCACGCCAGGAACGUCGGAUCCAACGAGAGCGUGGCCAUCAAAGUCAUCGACAAGGAGAAGAUCCUCAAAGGCGGUUUGAUCGCACAUAUCAAGCGCGAGAUCUCCAUACUCCGCCGCGUUCGCCAUCCCAACAUCGUUCAAUUGUUUGAAGUCAUGGCCACCAAGGCUAAGAUCUACUUCGUCAUGGAGUACGUCAGGGGCGGAGAGCUCUUCAAUAAGGUCGCCAAAGGCCGCCUCAAGGAGGAGGUCGCUCGCAAGUAUUUCCAGCAGUUGAUCUCCGCCGUCGGCUUCUGCCACGCCAGAGGGGUCUACCACCGCGACCUCAAGCCCGAGAAUCUCUUACUGGACGAAGCCGGUGACCUCAAAGUCUCCGAUUUUGGGCUUAGCGCUGUCUCUGAUCAGAUGAGGCAGGAUGGCCUGUUCCACACCUUUUGUGGGACUCCGGCGUAUGUGGCACCUGAGGUUUUGGCCCGGAAGGGCUAUGACGCAUCCAAGGUUGAUAUAUGGUCGUGCGGUGUGAUACUCUUCGUCUUGAUGGCUGGGUAUCUCCCUUUCCAUGAUCAGAACAUCAUGGCCAUGUACAAGAAAAUCUACAAGGGUGAAUUCCGAUGCCCUCGGUGGUUUUCGCCGGAGCUCGCUCGGCUUCUUACUCGGCUCCUCGAUACGAACCCGGAAACCAGAAUUACAAUUCCGGAGAUUAUGGAGAAUCGGUGGUUUAAGAAAGGUUUUAAACAUAUUAAAUUUUACAUUGAGGAUGAUACGCUUAGACUCUGUAAUGCUGAGGAGGCUGAGGAUGAUGUGGAGUCUUUGUCGGAUCAAUCUAUGUCAGAGUCGGAGUCGGAGUUGGAGACUCGGAGGAGGCUUUCUACAUUGCCAAGACCGGCGAGUUUGAAUGCAUUUGAUAUUAUAUCAUUUUCACCAGGUUUCGAUCUCUCUGGAUUGUUUGAGGAGGGAGGUGGAGACGCGCGAUUUGUGUCGGGUGCACCUGUAUCGAAGAUUAUAUCAAAAUUAGAGGAGAUUGCCAAGGUGGUGAGCUUUACAGUGAGGAAGAAGGAUUGUAGGGUGAGCUUAGAGGGAUCCAGAGAGGGGGUGAAGGGGCCAUUAACGAUUGCAGCUGAGAUUUUUGAGUUAACGCCCUCAUUGGUGGUGGUGGAAGUUAAGAAGAAAGGAGGCGACAAAGGGGAGUAUGAGGAGUUCUGUAAUCGUGAAUUAAAACCCGUGUUGCAGAACCUUGUUGAUGACUCUGCUGCUUCUUCACAUUUUCAAAACUCCUUGCACAAAGGAGAGUGUGGGCAACUUUCUAAUCUGGAAUUGGAGUCUGGAUUGAAGAACCUUGUGGUGGAUGACUCUGCUUCUACACCACAUUUGCCCUCAGAUACUGAAUAGAAAGGAGAGAGAGAGAAGGGAUAUGUUCUCCACAAGAACAAAUUUAGGUUUUGCAUUGUCUUGAAAAAGCCUUUGAUAUGAUGACAGGAGGGAGCAAAUCUUCAAAAAUGUGUAACACAACAUGGCCUGUGAAUUCACGAGGCACGAUUAUAGUUUUGCCUGAGAUCGAAACUUCUCUUUGGCAUUACUGAAAGAAGCCCUCUCUUGUGACAAGGAAAACAUUAGUAAUUGUUUUCUUGCUUAUUCUGAAUGAUUCCCAAUUUGGGGAAAUUUUUUUUGUGCAUGUUAAUCUUCUUUUGUUUUAUACAUCAAUUAUAUACAUGAAAUCCUACUUUGAAGGUAGGGUCCUACUACAGUACCAAAGGUACUUUUUAGAAAAGGUACCACCAAUUAAGUGAUGCCAUGUAUACACUCCGCGGCCCCAUGGUUUUUGUACUUGAGUUUCAUUCUUUUAUACCUUGCAUCUUAAUCUCAUAUCAUUUUCUCACUUA
This is an RNA transcript of Vitis vinifera (wine grape), 2270 nucleotides long. It is a transcript of the gene named CBL-interacting protein kinase 01, with no coding region annotated. The transcript is spliced from 3 exons. The record is from RefSeq and is marked provisional. Lineage: Eukaryota; Viridiplantae; Streptophyta; Magnoliopsida; Vitales; Vitaceae.